UACGAAGGGGGCUAGCGUUGCUCGGAAUGACUGGGCGUAAAGGGCGCGUAGGCGGAAUGCUUUGUCGGGCGUGAAAUUCCAGGGCUCAACCUUGGGGCUGCGUUCGAGACGGGUGUUCUAGAGUUUGGAAGAGGGUCGUGGAAUUCCCAGUCGUAGAGGUGAAAUUCGUAGAUAUUGGGAAGAACACCGGUGGCGAAGGCGGCGACCUGGUCCGUUGACUGACGCUGAGGCGCGAAAGCGUGGGGAGC
Molecule: ribosomal RNA, 248 nt
Filed under: uncultured bacterium
Lineage: Bacteria
Description: partial 16S ribosomal RNA
Rfam family: Bacterial small subunit ribosomal RNA
Source: RNAcentral